CCCUUAGAUGUUCUGGGCCGCACGCGCGCUACACUGAUGCAUUCAACGAGUUUCUUCCUGGUCCGAGAGGAAUGGGUAACCUUUUGAAAGUGCAUCGUGAUAGGGAUAGACUAUUGCAAUUAUUGGUCUUCAACGAGGAAUUCCUAGUAGACGUAGUUCAUCAGACUGCAUCGAUUACGUCCCUGCCCUUUGUACACACCGCCCGUCGCUCCUACCGAUUGGAUGAUCCGGUGAGCUAUUCGGACCUGUGCAUUUUCCAUUGGAACUUGCGUGGGAAAGUCUCGCGAACCUUAUCAUCUAGAGGAAGGAGAAGUCGUAACA
RNAcentral lists this ribosomal RNA (321 nucleotides) under uncultured eukaryote. RNAcentral's name for it is "partial 18S ribosomal RNA". It matches the Rfam family "Eukaryotic small subunit ribosomal RNA", at positions 1470 to 1796 of the family's 1831-position model. The record is from RNAcentral.